CUUGGUUCUGGCAUCGAUGAAGAACGCAGCGAAAUGCGAUAAGUAGUGUGAAUUGCAGAAUUCAGUGAAUCAUCGAAUCUUUGAACGCACAUUGCGCCCCUUGGUAUUCCAUGGGGCAUGCCUGUUCGAGCGUCAUUUGUACCUUCAAGCUCUGCUU
Molecule: ribosomal RNA, 157 nt
Filed under: Epicoccum sp.
Lineage: Eukaryota; Fungi; Ascomycota; Dothideomycetes; Pleosporales; Didymellaceae
Description: 5.8S ribosomal RNA
Rfam family: 5.8S ribosomal RNA (bases 1-135)
About the family: 5.8S ribosomal RNA (5.8S rRNA) is a component of the large subunit of the eukaryotic ribosome. It is transcribed by RNA polymerase I as part of the 45S precursor that also contains 18S and 28S rRNA. Functionally, it is thought that 5.8S rRNA may be involved in ribosome translocation.
Source: RNAcentral